UGCAGACACAAAGCAAUUGGGAGCAGCCUGGAGCAACACAUUUGAUCUUCAGUGGCUUUACAAAGGACCAAGUGAUGGCAGAACUGAAGCCAUAUGCCUCAAAAGAGAAAGGUACAGCAAAGCUCUUCAGAAUGCUAUUCAAUAUAGAAGAGAUUAAAGGCCGCUCAUUGUUUGGCAUGAGGAAAGGGAACAGAGAGUCUGACGCCAGACCUUCUUGUGCAGACAAGGCAAAACUUAAGUUCUUGGAAGAUUGUGCGCUCGAAAAGUUGCCGACAACCUAAAGGACUGAACUCAAACCGUCCAGGAAUAGCAAGAUAAACUGAAGAAAAUAAAUGGACUAAUGUUUUUGCUAUUUUUUGAGACAAUAUAUAAUUUCAUAUGGAAACAUUAAAAAGGAUUAUUUUUAAAAUUUGUUUGUUUCCAAUUUAGGGUACAGGGUGACUUUCAAGCAGUUUCCAGCUAUUGCCACCCACAAGGUGGAAAAUUUCUGAAAGGGUGAAAAUAGGUGGCAUUUAGUGGAAACUGAAUUUGCCACUAUCUGGUGGCAAAAUGGUGGAAAAGUGUCUAAAUACUCCACCAAUUUUCCACCCUUAUGGUGGCAAAAGGUGGAAAUAAGUGGCAUUUGGUGGAAAAUAAGUUUGCCACUCAAUGGUGGCAUAAUGGUGGAAAUUUGUCUAAAUACUCCACCAAUUUUUCACCAUUAUGGUGGCAAUAAGUGGAAACAAGUGGCAUCUAGUGGAAAAUGAGUUUGCCACCCUAAGGUGGCAUAUUGGUGGCAUUAUGGUGAAAGUUUGUCUAAAUACUCCACCAAUUUUCCACUCAUUGGUGGCAUUUAGUGUAAAAAAGGUGGAAUUAACUGGAAAAUUAUAUAACAUCAGUCCUGCUCAAAUUUUUCACCAUUUUCAUGAUUUGGGUGGCGUUUUGGUGGCAUUAUUGGUGGAAAAUUGUCUAAAUACUCCACCAUUGAAAAGGGUGGCAUUUUAGUGGCAAAUCUAGGGACGGGU
Molecule: long non-coding RNA, 1004 nt
Organism: Ruditapes philippinarum (Manila clam)
Lineage: Eukaryota; Metazoa; Mollusca; Bivalvia; Venerida; Veneridae
Exons: 3
Source: RefSeq, a predicted model, not a curated record